RNAcentral lists this ribosomal RNA (445 nucleotides) under uncultured bacterium. RNAcentral's name for it is "partial 16S ribosomal RNA". It matches the Rfam family "Bacterial small subunit ribosomal RNA", at positions 354 to 796 of the family's 1533-position model. The record is from RNAcentral.
GUGAGGAAUAUUGGUCAAUGGGCGGAAGCCUGAACCAGCCAAGUAGCGUGCAGGAUGACGGCCCUAUGGGUUGUAAACUGCUUUUGAAGGGGAGUAAAGUGAGUGACUUGUCAUUCAUUGCAAGUACCCUUGGAAUAAGGACAGGCUAAUUCCGUGCCAGCAGCCGCGGUAAUACGGAAGGUCCGGGCGUUAUCCGGAUUUAUUGGGUUUAAAGGGAGCGUAGGCUGCCCGGCAAGCGUGCUGUGAAAUACAGUGGCCCAACCACUGGACUGCAGCGGGAACUGUCGGGCUUGAGGGCGCACGACGAAGGAGGAAUUUGUGGUGUAGCGGUGAAAUGCUUAGAUAUCACGAAGAACCCCGAUUGCGAAGGCAGCUUGCGGGAGCGCGACUGACGCUGAAGCUCGAAAGUGCGGGUAUCAAACAGGAUUAGAAACCCGAGUAGUCC